UACGUAGGGUGCGAGCGUUGUCCGGAAUUAUUGGGUUUAAAGGGUGCGUAGGCGGCCCUGUAAGUCAGUGGUGAAAUACGGCAGCUCAACUGUCGAGGUGCCAUUGAUACUGCGGGGCUUGAGUGUUGAUGAGGUAGGCGGAAUUGACGGUGUAGCGGUGAAAUGCUUAGAUAUCGUCAAGAACACCGAUAGCGAAGGCAGCUUACCAAGCAAUAACUGACGCUGAGGCACGAAAGUGCGGGGAGCAAACAGG
This 253-nucleotide ribosomal RNA is filed under the name uncultured bacterium. RNAcentral describes it as "partial 16S ribosomal RNA". It matches the Rfam family "Bacterial small subunit ribosomal RNA", at positions 524 to 776 of the family's 1533-position model. The record is from RNAcentral.